CCUACGGGAGGCAGCAGUGGGGAAUAUUGGACAAUGGGCGAAAGCCUGAUCCAGCAAUUCCGCGUGUGUGAAGAAGGCCUUCGGGUUGUAAAGCACUUUAGGUUGGGAAGAAAAAACUUCUCCUAAUACGAGAAGCGUUGACGGUACCAACAGAAUAAGCACCGGCUAACUCUGUGCCAGCAGCCGCGGUAAUACAGAGGGUGCAAGCGUUAAUCGGAUUUACUGGGCGUAAAGCGUGCGUAGGUGGUUUCGUAAGUCGGAUGUGAAAGCCCCGGGCUCAACCUGGGAACUGCAUUCGAUACUGCGAGACUCGAGUUUGGUAGAGGGUGGCGGAAUUCCCGGUGUAGCGGUGAAAUGCGUAGAUAUCGGGAGGAACAUCAAUGGCGAAGGCAGCCACCUGGGCCUGAACUGACACUGAGGCACGAAAGCGUGGGUAGCAAACAGGAUUAGAUACCCUGGUAGUCCACGCCGUAAACGAUGAGAACUUGACGUUGGUUCGUUUUACGAAUCGGUGUCGUAGCUAACGCGAUAAGUUCUCCGCCUGGGGAGUCGGCCGCAAGGUUGAAACUUAAAUGAAUUGACGGUUNUGAGAGUGCGAGGCGACGACGAGGGAGGAGG
Molecule: ribosomal RNA, 618 nt
Filed under: uncultured bacterium
Lineage: Bacteria
Description: bacterial SSU rRNA
Rfam family: Bacterial small subunit ribosomal RNA
Source: RNAcentral